RNAcentral lists this long non-coding RNA (1442 nucleotides) under Homo sapiens (human). Its description in RNAcentral is "HSALNT0364710". The record is from RNAcentral. Lineage: Eukaryota; Metazoa; Chordata; Mammalia; Primates; Hominidae.
GAAUAACUUCUUAAAGAAGUUACCCUUCUUUAGUUAAGAACUCACUGUGAUGUUAUGUAAAAAGAAUUUGUCUAACAUUCAGAAGGUCUGAGUUUGGGUUACACAGUUAGUAAAUAGUGGUCCACUAAUUCUUUUUUUUCUUUCUUUCUGAGACGGAGUUUCGCUCUGUCUCCCAGGCUGCAGUGCGGUGGCGCGAUCUCGGCUCACUGCAAACUCCGCCUCCCGGGUUCACGCCAUUUUCCUGCCUCAGCCUCCUGAGUAGCUGGGACUACAGGCGCCCGCCACCACGCCCGGCUAAUUUUUUGUAUUUUUAGUAGAGACAGGGUUUUACCGUGUUCGCCAAGAUGGUCUCGAUCUCCUGACCUCUUCGUCCGCCCGCCUUGGCCUCCCAAAGUGCUGGGAUUAGAGGCGUGAGCCACCGCGCCCGGCCGGUCCACUAAUUCUUUUAAACUCUGUAAGGCAUUUUUUUUUCCUGUUUAAAUAUAUAUCGACAUUAGAUAGCUUUGGCUGUGGCAAAGAGGACCUGCUAUUGUAGGUCUGUGGGCUGGCAGUGACUGGGCGGGGCUCAUCUGAGAUUGGCGGGGCUCGGCUCUGUGCCAUGUACUGUCUCAUUCCGGAACAUGGACGGAAGGCGGGGUCGCUGUUGGGCAUGCUGUUCUCAGGAGGGCAAGCAAAGCUCUGGGGCACUGCUUCUGAAAGCCUCUGCUCACAAUCGGCAGCUGACACCUGCAGACAAUCUCCACUGUUGCAAAUUAUUCUCUGAAGGACAUACUUAAAACUAAAAGAUGUUGGAUCUCCAAUAUGAAUUUGUGGGAUGUCUGGACACAGACAGAUACACAGGAAGAACAUCACAUAAACAAGAAGACAGAGAUUGGGGUAAUGUUUCUACAAGUCAAGGAUUAACAAAGAUUGCCUGCAAACCACAGAAACCAGGAAAGAGGCCUCAAAGAGAUUCUCACUCACACCCUCAGGAGGAACCAACCUUGCUGACCUUAAUCUCGGACUUCUGGUCUCCCGAAUUGUGAGAAAAUAAAUUUCUGUUGUUUCAGCAAUUCAGUGUAUGGUACUUUGUUACAGGAGCCCUAACACAACAUGAACGACUGAAUCUGCAGAAAUUUAAUUCUGUUUUCGGAUCUAAACACUGGAAAAUUGAACAAAGGUAGAAGAUUCAGAGGCCACAAAGGCAGUGGAACACUUUGAGUAAAGAGCGUGGGCAUCGAAAUUGAAUAUUCCUUCUAUUUUCUGGAAAAACAAAACAAAACAGGAACUGUAGGUCACACUUGUGUCCGUAUGUUGGUAGUUUUAAGAAAAAGGGCUUGGGUAAAGAGUUUCUCUGAGAUUUCUGACUUUUCCAUUGAUUAUAACCAUUUCCCAUAGCUACUUAUAAGUCAUGGGCUCCUAUGCCUGACAAAAUGUAUUAAAAUAUUCAAAGUAAAAAUAAU